UACGGAGGGUGCAAGCGUUGUCCGGAAUCAUUGGGCGUAAAGAGUUCGUAGGCGGUAUGUUAAGUCUGGUGUUAAAGCCCGAAGCUCAACUUCGGUUCGGCACUGGAUACUGGCAAACUUGAAUGUGGUAGAGGUAAAGGGAAUUCCUGGUGUAGCGGUGAAAUGCGUAGAUAUCAGGAGGAACAUCGGUGGCGAAAGCGCUUUACUGGGCCAUAAUUGACGCUGAGGAACGAAAGCCGGGGUAGCAAAUGGG
Molecule: ribosomal RNA, 253 nt
Filed under: uncultured bacterium
Lineage: Bacteria
Description: partial 16S ribosomal RNA
Rfam family: Bacterial small subunit ribosomal RNA
Source: RNAcentral